Molecule: long non-coding RNA, 261 nt
Organism: Macrobrachium nipponense
Lineage: Eukaryota; Metazoa; Arthropoda; Malacostraca; Decapoda; Palaemonidae
Exons: 3
Source: RefSeq, a predicted model, not a curated record
UCAACGCAACCGACAUCUCUUGGUUGAGCUUGUUUUGGCGUCGUUUCUGUGACUAGAUCGUAAAUUUGCCUCGAUAUUUUCGAAUAUAUACAGGUGUGCGCGGUUUGAGACAUAUUUUUGAUUAGUGUUGUUUAGUGAUUGCGUACCGUGAUUGACUCCCAGGCAGACUUCAAACAGUUUGCUUACGGGAGUUAUGGAUGCUUUCAGCUAGGAACGAUGAGGUAUGCUACCUUGUCGACAGGUAAGUCCCAAAUUCAGCAG